GGCAAGGGGAACCGUUCAGCAAACCCCGCUUUCCUCGGCGGGGCGCAGGGGCCGGCGGGCGACGCCUGCACACACUCGGCUUUGCGAAGUACAGAGCGCCCGGGCCGAGUGGCGCCCGGGGUGGAGGAGAUCCUACCCGCCCAGCCCUCCUUCGGCCCGGCGGAGAGGGAGUGGGGUGCGCCCCGCCCGCCCCCAGCCCGACUCCGCUGGAAACCUGGGCUCCUCGAGCGCGCGGGGCGGGGAUGCUGCGGGGGCCGGCGGGGCCCCGGGGCAGAUAGGGCCGCCGAGAGGAAGUGCACACGCAGCCAGAGGGAAGCACUCAGGAAGCCUCGGCCCAGAGCUGGAGCGCUUGGGAUUCAAGGUCAUGGCUCCACUUCUCGCUGGCCACCGACAGCCCAUCGAAAGGCCCUGCGGGAGGAAUAUUUUGCAUCGCUGUGGGCAAAAAACUCGAAACCAGCUGUCAACCCAGCGGGUGUGUUCGCUGGUCAGCACUGUUGAGCGCAACUCUGCCUGGUGUUAGGAAGAAAAGUGGUGGCCGCUUUCGAGUCCCCAGGGCUGGUGGUUGACAGGGAGAAGCGCACAGGAUGUUGUCACCCAGGAUCACUAAAGUCACGCACAUGUUACACCGGGCUCAGAGACUUUUACAGGAGCAAAGCAACUGCUUUUCAAUAAUCAGGGCCUGUCAGGAAGACAUCUUCCUUGCUGCCGAGGCCCUCUUCUUCCUAUCCUGGUGUUUGUGCGCCCCUCUCCCCGCCAAACUCAUCUUUUCCAGGGUGUUUUCAUCCCCUGGGUGUGAAUUAAGUGCUUUACAAGAACAUCUUAGUGGAGUGGAUGAAAGAUCAGCAGCCUUAGCUCUAUCUAGUUUUGAAUUGGACUUCUACCCCCCUAGCUUUGUGGUUAUUGGAUGUUUGUCUUCCUUCCUUCUUUUCUCUCUCCCUCCCUCCCUUGUUCUUUCCCUCUGUCCUCCUUCCCUCCCUUUGGCCCUUCCUUCUUUCCUUUCUUUUCAGUCAGUGUUUUGCUAGGUUGCCCAAACUGGCCUUCAAAUCCUGGGCUUCAGAGAUCUUCUUGUCUCAGCCUCCAGUAGCUUCGACUGCAAGUAUCCACUGCCACACCCUGCUUGGUACAGUUCUUCACCUCUGAGAGCCUCAGUUCCUUAAUUUUUAAAAACUGAAUGUGUGAUUUAUUAUAUCUAACAUUGGUCUGUAGGCUGAGUCCCCUACUUCUUGACACGGGCCUAACAAUAGGUUCCUCUCAAGACUGUCAUGGCGAGUGGAUGAACGAGAAAUGAGAAUACAGCCCAGGGGCCCCAGCAGGUUCUGAGGAUAAACACUUUCCUUUCUCUUUGUAGUUAUUGUAUCUGGACUCAGAGUGGGCCCCAUUAACAUAAUAAAGGGUGUUGCAAACUAAUUUUCUUUUAAGGGCUUUAGAAGAACUCUCUGAGAAACUACUGGUGAAUGGCUUGGCAAAGAAAAAUAAAUAAAUGCAGAAAACCAACUAUUUCUUUGGUCUGUACAUCUUUUAUCUGAUACAUGGCAGAGAAACAGGGAAAGAGAACACAGAGUUUUCAGUGUUCUCUCCUGGUCUAUGAGAGUGAAAUGCAGGAAAUGGUCAUUUCUGAAGGACGCACACUGUGGCCUGGUACAGCUUGUCCGGUUGACAGGAGUAUGAGGUUUAGUGAGGGGUGCACGCGAGCCCUGUGGCAGUGGCUCCUGGGGUGUCCUGUGCCCUCACUUCACUCGGAGCUGCUCGCUUGGCUGAGCUCUUGCGCCGCUUCCUCGAUGUGGGCCUUUAGGACUGCAGUGUUGCCCCGAGGACAGGACGCUCAGCCACGAGGCAUUGACCUUGGCCUUCUCUC
Molecule: long non-coding RNA, 1855 nt
Organism: Heterocephalus glaber (naked mole-rat)
Lineage: Eukaryota; Metazoa; Chordata; Mammalia; Rodentia; Bathyergidae
Source: Ensembl